This 467-nucleotide ribosomal RNA is filed under the name uncultured bacterium. RNAcentral describes it as "partial 16S ribosomal RNA". It matches the Rfam family "Bacterial small subunit ribosomal RNA", at positions 29 to 507 of the family's 1533-position model. The record is from RNAcentral.
ACGAACGCUGGCGGCGUGCUUAACACAUGCAAGUCGAACGGAAAGGCCCUGCUUUUGUGGGGUGCUCGAGUGGCGAACGGGUGAGUAACACGUGAGUAACCUGCCCUUGACUUUGGGAUAACUUCAGGAAACUGGGGCUAAUACCGGAUAGGAGCUCCUGCUGCAUGGUGGGGGUUGGAAAGUUUCGGCGGUUGGGGAUGGACUCGCGGCUUAUCAGCUUGUUGGUGGGGUAGUGGCUUACCAAGGCUUUGACGGGUAGCCGGCCUGAGAGGGUGACCGGGCAAAAAGGGGAUAAGGAAGGGCCCCGGCGCCAUCGGGGGGGAGAGGGGGGGAAAUUUUAACAAUGGGGGGGAGGCGGAGUAGGAGACGCCCGGGUUGGGAAGAAGGCCUUUGGGUUGGAAACCCCUUUUGGCUGGGAACAAGGGGUAGGGACGGGAAAUGGGUAAGAAGCACGGGCUAAAUAAGUG